Molecule: transfer RNA, 71 nt
Filed under: Nannocystis pusilla
Lineage: Bacteria; Pseudomonadati; Myxococcota; Nannocystales; Nannocystaceae
Also listed under: 5 other names
Description: tRNA-Met
Rfam family: tRNA
About the family: Transfer RNA (tRNA) molecules are approximately 80 nucleotides in length. Their secondary structure includes four short double-helical elements and three loops (D, anti-codon, and T loops).
Source: RNAcentral
GGUGCCGUGGCCGAGUGACAGGCAGCGCUCUCAUAAGGCGCCAUACGCAGGUUCGUUACCUGCCGGCACCA